UACGGAGGGUGCGAGCGUUGUCCGGAAUCACUGGGCGUAAAGGGCGCGUAGGCGGCCGCGUAAGUCACUUGUGAAAUCCCGGGGCUCAACUCCGGGGCCGCAGGUGAGACUGCGUGGCUAGAGCACGGUAGAGGCGAGUGGAAUUCCCGGUGUAACGGUGGAAUGCGUAGAUAUCGGGAAGAACACCGGUGGCGAAGGCGGCUCGCUGGGCCGUUGCUGACGCUGAUGCGCGAAAGCGUGGGGAGCAAACAGG
RNAcentral lists this ribosomal RNA (253 nucleotides) under uncultured bacterium. Its description in RNAcentral is "partial 16S ribosomal RNA". It matches the Rfam family "Bacterial small subunit ribosomal RNA", at positions 524 to 776 of the family's 1533-position model. The record is from RNAcentral.